CAGCACAGCCCCUUCUAAACUAAAGAAUCACUUCUGGGUUCCUGUCAACCUGCUUGGGAUUUAUUUCUCAGGUAGCGUGGGCACCAAAAAUCCUCUGAAUCUACCUGGGAUGUUUACCCAGAGCAGUGUGGACCUAGCAGUCCUUCCGGAAAAAAGAGCAAAACCUGCUCAGAGCUAUUAAUACCGAAGAACUCCCGAGACCAGCAGCCGGUGAGCAGCCGCAGCAGAGCCCGCCCAUGGUGUCCGGCACAAGCUGCCACCAUGUACUGUGGCCAGCAGAGGCGGUGAACAGCAGCCGGCUGUGUCGACUCUUGGCAUCCAGCGCCACCUGGACGACCAGGGAAAAGGAGACACGGUUCACGGAGGGGAGCAGAGAGGCAGCCUGAGGAAGCCAGCAGGAAACCUGCAAUGAACGUGAGAGAGGAAACAGAAGUCAAUCUGUGCCAGGCAACUCUGAAGGCCCAGGCGAGUCUUACAGUGAUCUAAAACAGACUGACUAAUAACAGUGGCCUUGGAGGUGAGUGAAUGGGGAGCAUAUUCGGUGCAGCUCCCAGUACUGUUCUCCGUGCCUCAGUUUCUCCCUCUCUAAAGUAGGGGUGGUGUAUCUCCCUUGUGGGGUUGUGGUGAAGGGCAGAUGAGGCAAUGCAUGCACAUCCGGGCACAGAAUGGGGCACAGGACACAGGCUCACCACAGGGACUCUGUCCUCACCACCCCUGUGUGGCCCUGCCCAGGUCCUUCUGCACCUCAGCUCCCACCCCCCACCCUGGGAGCUCCCGAGGAUCCCCAGGUCUCAGUUCAGACUUUCCUCUUUCCAACCGGAUGGUGAGUUCCUUCAGGGGACACUGAGUCUUGUGGCUGAAAUUGCCGAAUCGCCAAUGGCAGCGCCCGCGCUUCCCGGUUCGAGGGCUCCGGGGGCCCCGCCAGCCU
This 928-nucleotide long non-coding RNA is filed under the name Fukomys damarensis (Damara mole-rat). RNAcentral's name for it is "lncRNA (ENSFDAG00000031278.1)". The record is from RNAcentral. Lineage: Eukaryota; Metazoa; Chordata; Mammalia; Rodentia; Bathyergidae.